CUGAUUGUUAAAUUUUAAAGCAUCCCAAAGUUUGGUUUCACACUUGAAUGAAUACCAUUUGCAAGAUUAUUGCCACAAAUCCAGACACAUCUGUAUUCAAAGGAAGAAGCAGAGAAGAUUGGGGUCAGCCACAUGAGUUUCUUUUAUGAAGAAAAGCGUUCACUGACUUCCUUCAGGUCUCGUUGGUCAGAACUGGGUCCAGUGGCUGUCAAUAGCUGCAAAGGAGGCUGUGAAGCAGGGGAUAGGGUUUUUAUGUUUGGUUUAGACCAAGGUUUCUCUAACUCAGCACUAUUGACUGACGUAUUGGCCUGGAGAAUUCUUUGCUUGGGGCUGUCCCGUGCAUUGUAGGAUGCUUAGCAGCAUCCCUGGCCUCUAUCCCGUGGACCUCAGUCAUCCUUAGUUGUGACAACCCAGAAAGUCUCCAGACAUUUUCUAAGUUCCCUGGGAGGCAAAAUUU
Molecule: long non-coding RNA, 457 nt
Filed under: Pan troglodytes (chimpanzee)
Lineage: Eukaryota; Metazoa; Chordata; Mammalia; Primates; Hominidae
Description: long non-coding RNA NONPTRT004147
Source: RNAcentral